RNAcentral lists this ribosomal RNA (309 nucleotides) under Staphylococcus aureus. RNAcentral describes it as "partial 23S ribosomal RNA". It matches the Rfam family "Bacterial large subunit ribosomal RNA", at positions 2500 to 2808 of the family's 2925-position model. The record is from RNAcentral. Lineage: Bacteria; Bacillati; Bacillota; Bacilli; Caryophanales; Staphylococcaceae.
UCACAUCGACGGGGAGGUUUGGCACCUCGAUGUCGGCUCAUCGCAUCCUGGGGCUGUAGUCGGUCCCAAGGGUUGGGCUGUUCGCCCAUUAAAGCGGUACGCGAGCUGGGUUCAGAACGUCGUGAGACAGUUCGGUCCCUAUCCGUCGUGGGCGCAGGAAAUUUGAGAGGAGCUGUCCUUAGUACGAGAGGACCGGGAUGGACAUACCUCUGGUGUACCAGUUGUCGUGCCAACGGCAUAGCUGGGUAGCUAUGUGUGGACGGGAUAAGUGCUGAAAGCAUCUAAGCAUGAAGCCCCCCUCAAGAUGAG